This 377-nucleotide ribosomal RNA is filed under the name uncultured bacterium. RNAcentral describes it as "bacterial SSU rRNA". It matches the Rfam family "Bacterial small subunit ribosomal RNA", at positions 524 to 898 of the family's 1533-position model. The record is from RNAcentral.
UACGGAGGGAGCUAGCGUUGUUCGGAAUUACUGGGCGUAAAGGGCGCGUAGGCGGUGGUGUAAGUCAGAUGUGAAAACCAUCGGCUUAACCGAUUGGAUUGCAUUUGAUACUGCAUCACUUGAGUUCAGUAGAGGAGAGUGGAAUUCCCAGUGUAGCGGUGGAAUGCGUAGAUAUUGGGAAGAACACCAGUGGCGAAGGCGGCUCUCUGGACUGACACUGACGCUGAGGCGCGAAAGCUAGGGGAGCGAACAGGAUUAGAUACCCUGGUAGUCCUAGCCGUAAACGAUGGGUGCUAGGUGUUGGGGGUUUCCAUGCCCUCAGUGCCGAAGCUAACGCAUUGAGCACCCCGCCUGGGGAGUACGGCCGCAAGGUUGAA